Amblyraja radiata (thorny skate) is the source of this 70-nucleotide small nucleolar RNA. RefSeq annotates it as small nucleolar RNA SNORD24. The record is from RefSeq and is a predicted model, not a curated record. Lineage: Eukaryota; Metazoa; Chordata; Chondrichthyes; Rajiformes; Rajidae. The transcript has a single exon.
UGCAAAUGAUGUAAACGAAUAUUUGCUAUCUGAAUAUAACGGAUGACUACCCACCAAGAUCGCUGAUGCA